GGAUAGAAGCGCAUCUCGUCGUGUCGCAAGAAUGGAUAUCGUUACAAGUACAUGUACUGAAAAGAAGAGAUAAAUACAGAGUUGGCUUACACUCGCCACAAGCUACAUCAGAGUCACAUCAGUACAUUACAUAUUCAUCAAGAGUAAGAGCAGGGUCCGACUACGGACGAAGACAAACGAGAAAAUAAGAACGGCGUCCAUCCUUGCUAUCCCAGGCUGCCGGCCUGGAACCCAUCCUAGAUCGAUGAAGAAGAAGAAGAAGAAUCAACUCCAAAUGUACAAUCAACGCGCUCGCGUCAAGUAACCUGUACCUGUACCUGCAACUGGUGUUGUAGUAAUCUGUGAGCCACAGGGGACUCAGCAAUCUCAUUUCCAAAGGUAUCAAGACUAGCAAAGCUUAAUGGGUGAGGUAUGGUUAAGUGGUGAGGUUGCCGCAGCGGCUAAGCAUAUAUUUGGUGGCUAAACUUACGAGUACAAGAAUAAGAGGGGGAAGAUCUACGCAUAUCGGACAUGGCUACUGAUGAUCAAAUGAAUGAUCCUGAACACCUACCUACAUCAGACAUAACCCCACCGUGUCCUCGAUCGGAGAAGGAACUCACGAAAGAGACAGUCACGGUUACGCACACAGUUGGCAUAUUUUAAUUAAGUUAACUUCAAGUUAUCUAGAACCAGUGUUAAACAAAGUUUCCACGUUGCCACAUAACCGCGGGCACGGCUUUCCAAAAAGAUUUAACCCUCCAGGGGUGCUCCAACUAGUCCAUCACAAAUUACCACAAGCCGCAUAAAAAUCCUCAAUCACGAAGCUCGCGAUCUCGUCAGAUUCCCUAGUGGAAAACCUCAACUCUGAGAUUACCAAAGCAUCAUCGGAAUCCCGAUGCACAAGAUAUCUCGUCAAAGGUAAAACUAAUCCAGCAAGGCCGCCCGGCGUGUCGACGAUCCAGAUAGGAGACGCGUAUCUCGUUCUCAGGACACCACGGAUAAGCGAAGCGUACGGGUCCCAAACCUCGAGUUUCCUAGCGGUGGCCCCGCCAGGUGCUCUGUUUUGGACCAACACUCAUGAGGAGCACUGGCCCGGGGGUUGAUUAAAUUAUCCUCGGGGUCCGGAAUGUCCCUAUGCAAGUUUAUUAGGUGAUUAGGCAAAUGUAGUACCAAAGUUGGGCCUUGCUAGACCAGCUUUAAUCUAAAACGAAUUAUCAAGGGGGUCCCCAUAACAACCCCGAUCGAGUUAGGAGCGCUCAUUUAUGGAACAUAACACCGGUAGCCGGAAACUAAGGGGGCAAAGGUGGAACAAAACACCAGGCUAGAAAGGCCGAGCCUUCCACCUUUUACCAAGUAUAUAGGUGCAUUAAAUUAAAUAGCAUUUAAUAUGGUGAUAUAACAAGGAACCCAUGUUUUCACAUGGAAGCAACUACACCUGCAACUAGCAACGCUAACACAGGGUUAAGCAAGCAGUAACAUAGCCAAUCAGUGGUUUGCUAGGUUGAACAGGUUGAAGGUUUUCAUGGCAUUGUUGAGAGGCUGAUAUUUAACAUGUGGUAGGCAACGAGACAUAAUCGAUAGAAGCGAUAAAACUAGCAUGGAAAUGAUAGUAAUGGUAUCGGAAAUGGUCAUCUUGCCUGAAAUCCCGCUUGGAAGAAGAAUGCCUCCGUGAAGCAGAAGAACCGACGUAGUCGAACGGGUCCUCACAUCCGACACGCUUGCGGAACUCUAUCGAGACGAAGCAACCCGGAAACACAAAUCAACACACGAUAUUCACCACACGAUGCACAACACAUAUGAUGCAUGAGCAGCUGAAUACAUGCAAGACACGGCAUGACAAUUCACACAAUCAAACACUACACAUUAAGUGAAGUUCAAUAUGCAACGAGUUGCAUAUUGACGAAACUCCACGUUAAUUUAUUUAGUUCUCUCCCGAUUAGAUACACGACAAUAUUAAAUGUGGUUAACCAUGUCAAGAGGUGAAGCGCAAUUAAUCUACCUGUCUAGGCAUUUUAAAUGAGGUCGGAAAUGACAUAUAGCACCUCCGAAGCGACCUCACACGUUAAUUUACAAUUCUGUCCAGAUUGAACUAACACAUUAAUUACUUGUUAAACAGCAAAACAAAUAGGUUCACGUGAUUCUACGCGUCGUUACAAGCAAUUUACACAUAGAGAACAUCUCCAACGGAGCUACCGUUCAAAAGAUACAAGCACCCCAAGAUAUGAUGGCAUGAAUGCAAUAUGUGUGCAACGACGGUCACGAGCACUUCAAAACACACAACCAGUAAGAUAAAAUGACACUACAAGAGAUUCUAAGCGAGUUUCAUAUAGGACACGAUCAAAUCGGAGCUACGGUUCAACAACUACGAGCAAAACAAGAAAUGACUACAAUCUGCCAAAAUCAGCCACAUAGCAUUUUCUACACCCCACAACUACGAGCUAUACAACUCUGAUAUACUCAACCAAGACACGGCGCGAAAUAGGGCAAGGAGCACUACAAUAAACAACUAACAACAACUAGCAUGGCAUAAUGGAUCACUAGGAAAAGAAGUCUCAAAAUGGCUUCUCACACACUAUUUCAGACUUAGUGAAAAUAACACCUCAUGAAAGUGCAGUUUUCGAUCUGAAGCCAUAUUGACAGCAGUAAAAUCAUAGUCUACAGGACUCCAAAUGACAUGAAAAUUCACAACAUGCUAGAGAAUCACAAGGGCUACAACUAACUCCAUCGGACCAACCUCAAAAGAGCUACAGAUCAAAAGAUACAAGCAAGACAAGACAAAAACAAAAUAUAACAAAUUUCAGAUUUAGAAAUAUUUCAGCACCUCCAAAUCAGCACUAUUUCUAGCAACUUGAGAGCAAGCAAAAACACACCUAAACAUGCAUUUCUAUUGCAACCAAAAAUACGAGGGGCUAGAGUAAACAUCAAAGGGCAACUCCCUAGUUUACACCUCCUUCAAACGAAGCACGAAAUAAAUCCUACGAAAAAGACAAGAGGGCAACAUAGCAAUAUAUCGCGCGAACUAACUUGCUCAAAAGCUAAAACUAAUUGCACAUAAAAAUCCUUUGGAUUUUUCUACCCCGAAAACAUAUAAAACAAGUGGGGUUGCAACACAAAAAUAUUGCCACACGUAAAUGCGAGAUAAUAACCUAUACACGGCAAAAUAAACUAGCGGCAAUCCCUACACGCAAAAUUAUCAACGUCUACUCUAAAAAUAUAUGGAAAAGUGGUUCCUAAAACAUGGACAUUUUACCUAAGGCAUCCGUGGUUCCUAAAACAUGGACAUUUUACCUAAGGCAUUCGAGUAAUUCAAACACGCGCGGAAAAUAAACUACGGAAAGGAUCCUAUUGGACAGCAUGUAAAUUUAUGCAUAUGGCAUCUCAAACUACGUCAAACAAUUAUGCAUGUUGCAAAAACGGAUUCUACGCGAAAUUCUAGUCAAGUUUCAUAUAUAAGUUGUCUCGAUUCGGUGCACGGUCUAAAAGGUACGGGUGUUUGAAAAUCGAUGCUUUCUCUGAAAUCCUAGUGCAGCAAAAAAAACAAGGGAAACGAAAAAUGGGGCAAAGCUGGGAUUCGAUCCCAGGGUCCCUCGACCCAGCACAGACAACUACUCGGCUACGGUGCCCUUGUUAGAAAAAUAGAGUGGUGACCCUCCUUAUAUUGUUUGAACCAGAACGGAUCUAGGAAACACGAUAAGGAUUCAGUUACACAGCUUGCAAGGGAACCGAGACUUGCGGCCAUGGCACGGGAGCAGCGACCACUUGCCAGCCCGACGCCGAGGAUGAGGUCUGCACACGCUGGGAUGGCCGGAUCCAGGGCAAGGGACUCCAUUCCCAGCGGAUCUGGCGCGUUCCGGAGGAGCUUGCCUCCAUGGUGCUGCGGACCUGCAGGGAAGAGAGGGGAGAGAGGUGAACGAGGGGAGAGAGAGUCAGAGGGAAAGCAGGGGGAGAAAGAUGAUGAGGAGGGAGGAAGAAGGAGCAGGGAAUGGGGCGACCUGGAUCGGUGGUGGAGCUGCAGCUCGGACGCAGAGGAGCGCCGCUCGGGGCAGAGCUAUUGGUCAAGGCGACCAUGGUUCUUCUCUGCGUUGCGCUCGGGCCGUCCUGCCGCUACAGCACGGGCACCAGCAGAGGAGGUCGCGGCUCCGACGUCCUGGUGCUGUUCCUGGAGGCGCGGCGAUGGCCUGGAGGACGACCUCCUGCUCGAGCAGAAACACACAGGGAGACGCGGGGC
Molecule: long non-coding RNA, 4207 nt
Filed under: Hordeum vulgare
Lineage: Eukaryota; Viridiplantae; Streptophyta; Magnoliopsida; Poales; Poaceae
Description: long non-coding RNA (HVUL_LNC021233)
Source: RNAcentral